This 283-nucleotide unclassified non-coding RNA is filed under the name plant metagenome. RNAcentral describes it as "partial contains small subunit ribosomal RNA, internal transcribed spacer 1, and 5.8S ribosomal RNA". The stretch from base 1 to 54 matches the Rfam family "Eukaryotic small subunit ribosomal RNA", at positions 1778 to 1831 of the family's 1831-position model. The record is from RNAcentral.
UUAAUUAAAAGUCGUAACAAGGUUUCCGUAGGUGAACCUGCGGAAGGAUCAUUAUUGUAUAACCGAGGUGCGAGGGCUGUCGCUGACCCGAAAGGUCGUGCACGCCCGAGUGCCCUCACACAUCCAUCUCACCCCUAUGUGCACCACCGCGUGGGUCCCCCUUUGGCUUGUUCGGAGGGGGGCUUACGUUUUCACACAAACUUUGUAUGCAGUGUAGAAUGUAUUUUUUGUUUUUGCGAUCACGCAAUCAAUACAACUUUCAACAACGGAUCUCUUGGCUCUC